Molecule: non-coding RNA, 24 nt
Filed under: Arabidopsis thaliana (thale cress)
Lineage: Eukaryota; Viridiplantae; Streptophyta; Magnoliopsida; Brassicales; Brassicaceae
Source: RNAcentral
UCGACUGCAUACUCGAUGACGAGC